Molecule: RNA transcript, 1348 nt
Organism: Asparagus officinalis (garden asparagus)
Lineage: Eukaryota; Viridiplantae; Streptophyta; Magnoliopsida; Asparagales; Asparagaceae
Gene name: succinate--CoA ligase [ADP-forming] subunit alpha, mitochondrial
Exons: 8
Source: RefSeq, a predicted model, not a curated record
AAUAAAAACGAGCGCGUUCUUCCCCCCAAUUUUCAUUCUUUUUUGCAUCGGCCAUGGCUCUUCAAGCGAGAAAGCUGGUGAAAUCCUUGAUUUCCUCGUCGAAGUUCCUCUCACGAUCUCGAACCUAUGCGGCCGCCGCCCAAUCUCCGUCGCCGGCGGUGUUCGUCGACAAGAACACGCGGGUGAUCUGCCAGGGGAUCACCGGAAAGAACGGAACUUUCCACACCGAGCAGGCGAUCGAGUACGGUACUGCGAUGGUUGGUGGAGUGACACCUAAAAAAGGAGGAACCGAACACCUGGGACUUCCAGUAUUCAACUCAGUUGCAGAAGCAAAGGCAGAGACAAAAGCCAACGCAUCAGUUAUUUACGUACCACCACCUUUCGCUGCAGCUGCAAUUAUGGAGGCAGUGGAAGCUGAGCUGGACCUUGUUGUCUGUAUUACCGAGGGAAUCCCUCAGCACGACAUGGUUCGUGUAAAGGCUGCUCUUAACAAGCAAUCUAAAACUCGUUUGAUAGGGCCGAACUGUCCAGGCAUUAUCAAGCCUGGAGAAUGUAAAAUUGGAAUAAUGCCUGGGUAUAUUCACAAGCCAGGGCGCAUUGGGAUUGUAUCUAGAUCUGGUACUUUGACAUAUGAAGCGGUUUUUCAAACAACUGCGGUUGGUCUGGGGCAGUCCACCUGUGUGGGUAUAGGUGGUGACCCCUUCAAUGGGACAAAUUUUGUAGAUUGCGUAAGGAAGUUCCUUGAUGAUCCACAGACUGAAGGUAUUAUUCUUAUAGGAGAGAUUGGAGGAACUGCAGAAGAGGAUGCUGCAGCUCUGAUCAAGGAAAGUGGAACAGAGAAACCUGUUGUUGGGUUUAUAGCUGGACUUACUGCACCACCAGGCCGCCGUAUGGGUCAUGCUGGAGCAAUUGUAUCCGGUGGUAAGGGAACCGCCCAGGACAAAAUCAAAACCCUAAGAGAAGCAGGCGUGACAGUGGUCGAGUCCCCUGCGAAGAUUGGCAUAGCUAUGCUCGAAGUCUUCAAGCAGCAUGGACUUGUAGAGUAGCUGGAAAGUUUCAAUACGCUCCAAAGGUUUCAUACAUUCUGGAUUAUUUGAAGGCAAAAAUCCAAGUGCAACAGAUAGCAGGUCACGUAGAUGAAUGUAACCUUGAAAGAGAUGAUAUUGGGUUUGGGGUAGACUGGGUAGUGGUGGUCUCCCUUUGACCGGGGUUACUUUCUCUUUUCUUUUCUGAGUGAUGUGUGUGUAAAUAUAUUUGUCAUGUUGCUCUAUUUUUUUUUCUUGUUAGUUUUGUUCGGAAAUACCCUGAUUUAGUUUUAUGAGGAGAGUGAAACAUAAAAUCUUUUAUA